RNAcentral lists this non-coding RNA (258 nucleotides) under Selenihalanaerobacter shriftii. The record is from RNAcentral. Lineage: Bacteria; Bacillati; Bacillota; Clostridia; Halanaerobiales; Halobacteroidaceae.
UUAAUAUCGUAAUAGUUAGGUGCCUUUCUAAGUAGCUUUGAAAGGAGAAUAGGGAAUCAGGUGAGAAUCCUGAACGGGCCCGCCACUGUGACUGGUAAAAAAGCAAUUGACAAUUAAAAGUUAAGAGCUAAAAGUCAAAAGUAGAUUAAUAGUUAAUUGCUAAAGGAUGAUAAGACCACUUGGAUAUUUAAGUGUUCAGGGAAGGUUAAGUUUCUUACAGCCAGAAGUCAGGAGACCUGCCUAACUGUUAAACCUACU